This 549-nucleotide ribosomal RNA is filed under the name uncultured Nostoc sp. Its description in RNAcentral is "bacterial SSU rRNA". It matches the Rfam family "Bacterial small subunit ribosomal RNA", at positions 72 to 659 of the family's 1533-position model. The record is from RNAcentral. Lineage: Bacteria; Bacillati; Cyanobacteriota; Cyanophyceae; Nostocales; Nostocaceae.
AAUCUUUCGGGAUUUAGUGGCGGACGGGUGAGUAACGCGUGAGAAUCUGGCUUCAGGUCUGGGACAACCACUGGAAACGGUGGCUAAUACCGGAUGUGCCCUUCGGGGUGAAAGGUUAACUGCCUGAAGAUGAGCUCGCGUCUGAUUAGCUAGUUGGAAGUGUAAUGGACUCCCAAGGCGACGAUCAGUAGCUGGUCUGAGAGGACGAUCAGCCACACUGGGACUGAGACACGGCCCAGACUCCUACGGGAGGCAGCAGUGGGGAAUUUUCCGCAAUGGGCGAAAGCCUGACGGAGCAAUACCGCGUGAGGGAGGAAGGCUCUUGGGUCGUAAACCUCUUUUCUCAGGGAAGAACACAAUGACGGUACCUGAGGAAUAAGCAUCGGCUAACUCCGUGCCAGCAGCCGCGGUAAUACGGAGGAUGCAAGCGUUAUCCGGAAUGAUUGGGCGUAAAGCGUCCGCAGGUGGCUAUGUAAGUCUGCUGUUAAAGAGUGAGGCUCAACCUCAUAAGAGCAGUGGAAACUACAUUGCUAGAGUACGUUCGGGGCA